CCAGACUCCUACGGGAGGCAGCAGUGGGGAAUAUUGGGCAAUGGGCGCAAGCCUGACCCAGCAACGCCGCGUGAAGGAAGAAGGCUUUCGGGUUGUAAACUUCUUUUCUGAGGGACGAUAGUGACGGUACCCCAGGAAUAAGCCACGGCUAACUACGUGCCAGCAGCCGCGGUAAUACGUAGGUGGCAAGCGUUAUCCGGAUUUACUGGGUGUAAAGGGCGUGUAGGCGGGAUGGUAAGUCAGAUGUGAAAACCACGGGCUCAACCUGUCGCCUGCAUUUGAAACUGUAGUUCUUGAGUACUGGAGAGGCAGACGGAAUUCCUAGUGUAGCGGUGAAAUGCGUAGAUAUUAGGAGGAACACCAGUGGCGAAGGCGGUCUGCUGGACAGCAACUGACGCUGAGGCGCGAAAGCGUGGGGAGCAAACAGGAUUAGAUACCCGUGUA
Molecule: ribosomal RNA, 444 nt
Filed under: uncultured bacterium
Lineage: Bacteria
Description: bacterial SSU rRNA
Rfam family: Bacterial small subunit ribosomal RNA
Source: RNAcentral